Molecule: ribosomal RNA, 506 nt
Filed under: uncultured bacterium
Lineage: Bacteria
Description: partial 16S ribosomal RNA
Rfam family: Bacterial small subunit ribosomal RNA
Source: RNAcentral
AUUGAACGCUGGCGGCAGGCCUAACACAUGCAAGUCGAACGGCAGCGGGGGGUAGCUUGCUACCUCGCCGGCGAGUGGCGGACGGGUGAGUAAUGCCUGGGGAGCUGCCCAGUCGAGGGGGAUACCAGUUGGAAACGACUGCUAAUACCGCAUCCGCCCUGAGGGGGAAAGAUGGGGAUCUUCGGACCUAUCGCGAUUGGAUGCACCCAGGUGGGAUUAGCUAGUUGGUGAGGUAACGGCUCACCAAGGCGACGAUCUCUAGCUGGUCUGAGAGGAUGACCAGCCACACUGGAACUGGGACACGGUCCAGACUCCUACGGGAGGCAGCAGUGGGGAAUAUUGCACAAUGGGGGAAACCCUGAUGCAGCCAUGCCGCGUGUGUGAAGAAGGCCUUCGGGUUGUAAAGCACUUUCAGCGGGGAGGAAGGGGAGCAAGCUAAUACCUUGUUUCAUUGACGUUACCCGCAGAAGAAGCACCGGCUAACUCCGUGCCAGCAGCCGCCGUAA